RNAcentral lists this long non-coding RNA (2907 nucleotides) under Chlamydomonas reinhardtii. RNAcentral's name for it is "long non-coding RNA (CREI_LNC000386)". Lineage: Eukaryota; Viridiplantae; Chlorophyta; Chlorophyceae; Chlamydomonadales; Chlamydomonadaceae. The record is from RNAcentral.
GCGGUGCCGGUAUUGGUUCCGUCAGACGCGGUGCAGGUGACAGUGGUGCUGCCAAAUGGGAAAGAGUCACCAGAGGCAUAGUCACACGAGGGCGUCACGGCACCAACCACGAUGUCAGUGGCGGUGACGGCCGACCAGGUGACAGCAGCAGUGCCGCUGGCCGAAGCGUACACGGACGCCGGCGAGGGGACCGUAAUGGCCGGCGCAAUGGUGUCAGUGACAGUAAUGGUGAUGGUCUUGCUCGCGCUAUUGCCGCUUUUGUCAGUGGCCGUGCAGGUGGCUACGGUGGUGCCGACGGGGUAGACGCCAGAGGUGGAGGGGGCCGCGGGGGAGUAGGUGGUGACAACGUUGAGGUUCGUGUCCACGUUGUCAGUGGCGGUGCAUGUGAAGGAGAUGCCGUCGGCGCCGCCAAGCGUGUUGCCCUCCUUGGUGAUGGCGUUGGUGCUGGUGCUGACGUCUGGAGCUGUGUUAUCUGUGGGCGGACAUGCAGGGUGGGGGGGAUUACACGAAUGCGUUUGCAUGUGCGUAAUUGAUGAUUACUAUGUAGCAGAAGCAAGCAAGUGUUCUUCCAAGGUCGGAGCCGCAACAUGCGAAGCCAGUAGGAUCCAUGCCCCGCCGUGCCCCGCCCUGCCUCACUCCGUUCCCCGCGCCCCGCCCCACUGCCACCCAACCCGACCCGACCCGAUCCAACCCGACUCAACCCCACCCAACCCAACCCAAGCAACCCGCCAAGACCCGACCCGACCUACAGCAACCCUUGCCCACCCUACCCUCCCCUCCCCGACCCACGUCUCACCGAGAACGACCACAGCGAAUGUCGCGGUGCCGGUAUUGGUUCCGUCAGACGCGGUGCAGGUGACAGUGGUGCUGCCAAAUGGGAAAGAGUCACCAGAGGCAUAGUCACACGAGGGCGUCACGGCACCAACCACGAUGUCAGUGGCGGUGACGGCCGACCAGGUGACAGCAGCAGUGCCGCUGGCCGAAGCGUACACGGACGCCGGCGAGGGGACCGUAAUGGCCGGCGCAAUGGUGUCAGUGACAGUAAUGGUGAUGGUCUUGCUCGCGCUAUUGCCGCUUUUGUCAGUGGCCGUGCAGGUGGCUACGGUGGUGCCGACGGGGUAGACGCCAGAGGUGGAGGGGGCCGCGGGGGAGUAGGUGGUGACAACGUUGAGGUUCGUGUCCACGUUGUCAGUGGCGGUGCAUGUGAAGGAGAUGCCGUCGGCGCCGCCAAGCGUGUUGCCCUCCUUGGUGAUGGCGUUGGUGCUGGUGCUGACGUCUGGAGCUGUGUUAUCUGUGGGCGGACAUGCAGGGUGGGGGGGAUUACACGAAUGCGUUUGCAUGUGCGUAAUUGAUGAUUACUAUGUAGCAGAAGCAAGCAAGUGUUCUUCCAAGGUCGGAGCCGCAACAUGCGAAGCCAGUAGGAUCCAUGCCCCGCCGUGCCCCGCCCUGCCUCACUCCGUUCCCCGCGCCCCGCCCCACUGCCACCCAACCCGACCCGACCCGAUCCAACCCGACUCAACCCCUCCCAACCCAACCCAAGCAACCCGCCAAGACCCGACCCGACCUACAGCAACCCUUGCCCACCCUACCCUCCCCUCCCCGACCCACGUCUCACCGAGAACGACCACAGCGAAUGUCGCGGUGCCGGUAUUGGUUCCGUCAGACGCGGUGCAGGUGACAGUGGUGCUGCCAAAUGGGAAAGAGUCACCAGAGGCAUAGUCACACGAGGGCGUCACGGCACCAACCACGAUGUCAGUGGCGGUGACGGCCGACCAGGUGACAGCAGCAGUGCCGCUGGCCGAAGCGUACACGGACGCCGGCGAGGGGACCGUAAUGGCCGGCGCAAUGGUGUCAGUGACAGUAAUGGUGAUGGUCUUGCUCGCGCUAUUGCCGCUUUUGUCAGUGGCCGUGCAGGUGGCUACGGUGGUGCCGACGGGGUAGACGCCAGAGGUGGAGGGGGCCGCGGGGGAGUAGGUGGUGACAACGUUGAGGUUCGUGUCCACGUUGUCAGUGGCGGUGCAUGUGAAGGAGAUGCCAUCGGCGCCGCCAAGCGUGUUGCCCUCCUUGGUGAUGGCGUUGGUGCUGGUGCUGACGUCUGGAGCUGUGUUAUCUGUGGGCGGACAUGCAGGGUGCGGGGGGCGUGAUGACAAGAAUGCGUGUGCAUGGUCUGUGUUUGUAUUAACGGAAGCUAGCGGAACCUUCGUUCCAUGCAAAGCUGCAGCACACCAAGUCUGCCUGCUGGGUCUAUCUCUCUAAUCUAGCCCCGCCCCGUCGCCAUCUAUGCGCCGCGCCUAGCCAUGCCUGUGCCAUCCACUUUACUACUGCUGCGUGCAUUGACCCAUAUGAACCAUCCAUAGAAGACCUAACCUACAAUCCCUGAGGCUCUGCCUAAUUUACGGCUUACCCAGGACGGUCACAGUGAACGUCUUUGUGGCGACGUUUGGCGUGGGUUGCGCGCCAUCAGACGCGGUGCAGGUGACCGUGGUGCUGCCAGAUGGGAAAGAGUCACCAGAGGCAUGGUUGCAUGCGGGCGUCACGGCACCAACCACGAUGUCAGUGGCGGUGACGGCCGACCAGGUGACGGCAGCAGUGCCGCUGGCCGAAGCGUACACGGACGCCGGCGAGGGGACCGUGAUGGCCGGCGCAAUGGUGUCAGUGACAACAAUGGUGAUGGUCUUGCUCGCACUGUUGCCGCUUUUGUCAGUGGCCGUGCAGGUGGCUACGGUGGUGCCGACGGGGUAGACGCCAGAGGUGGAGGGGGCCGCGGGGGAGUAGGUGGUGACAACGUUGAGGUUCGUGUCCACGUUGUCAGUGGCGGUGCAUGUGAAGGAGAUGCCGUCGGCGCCGCCAAGCGUGUUGCCCUCCUUGGUGAUGGCGUUGGUGCUGGUGCUGACGGUUGGGGCAGUG